This 79-nucleotide ribosomal RNA is filed under the name Caerostris darwini. Lineage: Eukaryota; Metazoa; Arthropoda; Arachnida; Araneae; Araneidae. The record is from RNAcentral.
UUAGAUCACCGAAGUCAAGCAUCAUUGGGCGCGGUCAGUACUUGGGUGGGUGACCACCUUGGGAAGACCGCGUGCCGUU